Molecule: small nucleolar RNA, 294 nt
Filed under: Thielaviopsis punctulata
Lineage: Eukaryota; Fungi; Ascomycota; Sordariomycetes; Microascales; Ceratocystidaceae
Description: Ceratocystis radicicola Fungal small nucleolar RNA U3
Rfam family: Fungal small nucleolar RNA U3
About the family: Small nucleolar RNAs (snoRNAs) are involved in the processing and modification of rRNA in the nucleolus. There are two main classes of snoRNAs: the box C/D class, and the box H/ACA class.
Source: Rfam by way of RNAcentral
GGCGACAAUACUUCAGAGAAUCAUUUCUAUAGUAGUCGACCUUCCUCUUGGUUCCCCAAAGGAGCUACAGAGUCCACCCUGGUUGAUGAAUGAUAUCCUCAAUGCCUUAGAGUGAAAUUCUCUUGGUGGCUUCCGCUCUGCUUUGACUCUCUUUCGGGAGGGCUCAAGGUGGCGGCUCAGUGGCGGCUUCGGCUGGGCGCUGGCUGUAUAGGAAGUGAUGAUGAUCUCGUCCCUGUCACAUGGUCUGCUUUCGAGCGCAUUGGCAGGGUGGGCAUUGAUGGACGUCUGACAGGA